CCUUUCUCUUGCAGACUCUGGCUACCCCUUUUCCCUGAGCUGCACAUGGCCAGGCCAAGAACUGCACAGUUUUAGAGAUUGUAACACAGUAAAAGUUCAAAUGACUGCAUGAUAAUCCACCAAACACAAGAGUUAUGAAGCACAUGAACAGCAUGGUUUGCACCAGAAAGCUAAGGACGGUGGGGCCUUUGUCCACCUGCCCAGUGGCUGAAUCCGAAGACAAUCCAAUCAUGCUCCCCACUUCUACCCACCUCUUUGGGUAGAGGUCUUUGAAGUUAUGUGAUUUUUGUUUUUCAACUAGAGAAGCUCUGUAUUAUUUCCAAAAGCUUCCAAUCCCCAUGAUUCCAGUUCAUGGAAAUCUGGCCACACUGGUUAGGUCGGGACUGCACCGCAUUCUCUCUUGUUGCUGAGACUGGCAGCAGCAGGCCAUGGAGCCCCACUUCCAUCAGAAUGCCUGCAAGCAUGGGCUUCCCACUAUGGUUCUCCCAGUCUUGCCCAAAAGGCUGCCAGGCCUCAGCAUGUCCAGGCCAAGCCGGACACUCGACCCACUCUGGCCAGUGUGACGGAACUUCUCUCAACAGGACCAAGAGGCAGCAUGAGCUACGCCUCCCAAGGACUGCAGCAACCAGGUAGGCUGCCCUGUGAGACCCGGCCUGCUCAGAAUGUGCCUCGAUCAAUGGAGAGGCCCUGCUCCUGAUCACUCUCAAGUAUAAAGCCUUCUUGUCUGGAGUCGGGGGCCCCAGUAAACCUGACCAUUACUCUAGGGCACAGGCAUCCCCUCCACCUACCCCCAACACUCUGGAGGACAAGAACACGAGGAGCAUCACCUGCUGCUGGUUCUGCACCUGCUGCUGGACAAAGUUUAGCUGCAAACCGGGCAUUUGGUCUAGAGAAUACUCACCAUCCUGGGAAGUAAAAGUGCUCAAAACUGUCCUAAAUGCCUCCCAGGCCUAGCCUUGUACCUGCUGGGGAUAAGCUACAAGCGGGGUCUGGCCUGGGUCACCCUUACCCUGCACCUUCUCCAGAAGCAUGCUCCAGUUGUGACCUUUCCUUGGUUUCUGUAGGAUGUGCUACGGACCACGAGAGUUUCAUUCUUUCUUAUUUUAAUGUUAUCAUCUUCAUUUGCAUCUUUCCACUAAAAUUUUCCACAAAUAA
Long non-coding RNA from Mustela lutreola (European mink), 1155 nucleotides. RefSeq lists it as uncharacterized. The transcript is spliced from 2 exons. The record is from RefSeq and is a predicted model, not a curated record. NCBI's taxonomy places the organism in Eukaryota, Metazoa, Chordata, Mammalia, Carnivora, Mustelidae.